CAGAUUUGCAGAUUGGCGCAUGUUUUCAAUCUGAUAAGAUAUUAAUCGGUUAUUCGAAGAUUUUAUUCUUUCUUUUCUGCUUUGUCUGGUGAAUGAGAUAAGUCAUCAGAGUUGAGUUCUUGAUAUAGAUAUUUUUUGGUAUUAAAUUUUGAGAUUUAGUUAGUACUUCAUACUUUCUAUUGGUUUAGUGAAACUCAAUUAAAAAUUGAGUUUUUGGGUGAAGCCCAGAUUUUCGAUUUGAAUAUAUAUUUCCAAGUUGAACUUCGUUGACCAACAUCCAACUUCGAAGAAUCAAUCACACCUGAAAACUGUGGUGAUCAGAACCUGGAAAUCCUUAUAUGGUGCUGUGUACAGUAUCGUACCAAAUCAGAUGGUUCUUCCUGCAUAGGAGCACUUCACCUGGAUUUUAAUUGCUAAUGGAAGUAUUCUGUUAUAUAUUUUGUUAUUUCAUUCGAUAUCCAAUUUAUAUAAUUUCGUAUGCUCUAUUUCAUUUUCCAUUUGAGACAUUGCGCUUCGAAGCUAUUCAUAAUAAUUUUCAUUGUUGAAAUCCAAUUGUAAGCAGCUAUUUUUCAAUAUUUCACUCUUAACUUUUUAUUCUAAUUUGAGCAAUUUAGUCGAUCUUAUUAAUAAAUCUCUGAAAGUGGA
Coccinella septempunctata (seven-spotted ladybird) is the source of this 645-nucleotide long non-coding RNA. RefSeq lists it as uncharacterized. The transcript is spliced from 2 exons. NCBI's taxonomy places the organism in Eukaryota, Metazoa, Arthropoda, Insecta, Coleoptera, Coccinellidae. The record is from RefSeq and is a predicted model, not a curated record.